RNAcentral lists this long non-coding RNA (596 nucleotides) under Homo sapiens (human). RNAcentral describes it as "HSALNT0020886". The record is from RNAcentral. Lineage: Eukaryota; Metazoa; Chordata; Mammalia; Primates; Hominidae.
GAGUAGUCAACCUGCCUAUACUGGUGGAUGAGAUGCAACUUACAUAAUAAAAAUGGAAGCAUUUCAGGCAAUAUGACAGAGCCAUGUGUAGAUGAAGAAGGAUUUUCAGCACCUCUGCAGGAAACUGGAAUUGGCUAAUGGUUCCUCAGUAUAUGGAGAGAACUGAUUUCAUCAUCCUCAGCAAAGUUUCCAGUGCUGCAGGAAUUCGAGCUUUACAGCUUUGCUCCUACAAUUGUCAGGAGCCUCUUGCGGGAUGGCAAGUACAGAGAAGACUGAAGAAAGACAUAUUCCAGUCACCCCCAAGUUCAUUUCCACUUCAGGCUGAGGGCCUGCCGGCCGAGGGAAACUCUGUCUCUUCCAAUUUGGUUUGAAUUGAGACCAUCCAUCCCGGUCGAACUGCAUUCCAGGCUUUUUUCUUGCUGAUGUCAAAAGGCUGAAUGUGGACUUCAGGACGGCUUGAGGGCUGUCUUGCCUGCUAACACUGAUUUUAUGAUAUGCUAAACAUAACAUUCAAUAGCUAUUACUUCCACUGUCAGAAAAACAACUUGAGCUAUCUAUCUUCCUCUUCAGACUAUAUUACAUUUCUCCCUGCAAAU